UAUGUGAUCGUCUCUCGCAUAUCAAUAAGCGGAGGAAAAGAAAAUAACAAUGAUUUCCCUAGUAACGGCGAGUGAAGAGGAAAGAGCUCAAAGUUGGAAACUGUUUGGCUUAGCUAAACCGUAUUGUAAACUGUAGAAACAUUUUCCUGGCACGCCGGAUUAAUAAGUCCUUUGGAACAAGGCAUCAUGGAGGGUGAGAAUCCCGUCUUUGAUCCGAGUAGUUGUCUUUUGUGAUAUGUUUUCAAAGAGUCAGGUUGUUUGGGAAUGCAGCCUAAAUUGGGUGGUAAAUUUCAUCUAAAGCUAAAUAUUGGCGAGAGACCGAUAGCGAACAAGUACCGUGAGGGAAAGAUGAAAGGAACUUUGAAAAGAGAGUUAAACAGUACGUGAAAUUGUCAAAAGGGAAGCGUUUGACACCAGUGUUGUUUUUCUGAAAAUCAAUUAAAGAACUGUUUAUGCUAAGUUGUUUAGACUUUAUCAGCUAACUGUUUAGUUUUGAGCUUUUCUUUAAUGCACUUUUCAGUUAACAAGUCAACAUCAAUUUCUUUUGCUGUAAAAAAGCUUGAGGAAGGUGGCUUGAGAUUCGUCUUAAGUGUUUAUAGCCUCUUGCCUAUGCAGUCGGAGAGAUUGAGGUCUGCAGCGUAGAUCCUUCGGGGCUAAAUGCAUUUGUGCUAAGUUAUAACAUUUUAUAGACAACUUGUUGACUAUGAUUUGUCUUGUAGCUUACUCGCUUAUGUUAUUUUACCUACGCUUAGGAUGUUGAAGUCAUCGUAUCGCGC
Molecule: ribosomal RNA, 776 nt
Filed under: uncultured Neocallimastigales
Lineage: Eukaryota; Fungi; Neocallimastigomycota; Neocallimastigomycetes; Neocallimastigales
Description: partial large subunit ribosomal RNA
Rfam family: Eukaryotic large subunit ribosomal RNA
Source: RNAcentral